Molecule: long non-coding RNA, 316 nt
Filed under: Mytilus galloprovincialis (Mediterranean mussel)
Lineage: Eukaryota; Metazoa; Mollusca; Bivalvia; Mytilida; Mytilidae
Source: RNAcentral
GAUCGAAAAAAAAAUGCUAAAAAGGCAAGCAGGAAGUUGUAUAGCACUGCGCUAAAACACCACCAAACAACACAUGGUGCAGAUAGCCUGACUUGAAAGAGGCCAAACAUUUUCUUGGUAGUAGGUUCUCAACUAUUUGAAAAUAUAAUAUAACCAACCAAUUCUCACUGAUCUGUUUGGAUUUAAGAUCCGUUUUUCUGAUGGAUGAAAGAUAAGUGCAUUUGACAGAACAGAUGCGUUAUGUCAAAAACAUUCGUUGUGAAAUACCAUGUUAUGUUAGCAACAACCAUAUUUACAUAAUAAGAGCAUAUUGUUG